GAUGAACGCUGGCGGCGUGCUUAACACAUGCAAGUCGAACGGAAAGGCUCCUGCUUGCAGGGGUACUCGAGUGGCGAACGGGUGAGUAACACGUGGGUGAUCUGCCCUGCACUUCGGGAUAAGCCUGGGAAACUGGGUCUAAUACCGGAUAGGACGAUGGUUUGGAUGCCAUUGUGGAAAGUUUUUUCGGUGUGGGAUGAGCUGGCGGCCUAUCAGCUUGUUGGUGGGGUAAUGGCCUACCAAGGGGUCGACGGGUAGCCGGCCUGAGAGGGGGUACGGCCACAUUGGGACUGAGAUACGGCCCAGACUCCUACGGGAGGCAGCAGUGGGGAAUAUUGCACAAUGGGCGCAAGCCUGAUGCAGCGACGCCGCGUGGGGGAUGACGGCCUUCGGGUUGUAAACUCCUUUCGCUAGGGACGAAGCGCAAGUGACGGUACCUGGAGAAGAAGCACCGGCUAACUACGUG
RNAcentral lists this ribosomal RNA (466 nucleotides) under uncultured bacterium. RNAcentral describes it as "partial 16S ribosomal RNA". It matches the Rfam family "Bacterial small subunit ribosomal RNA", at positions 28 to 507 of the family's 1533-position model. The record is from RNAcentral.